This 3685-nucleotide long non-coding RNA is filed under the name Sus scrofa (pig). Its description in RNAcentral is "lncRNA (ENSSSCG00025007837.1)". The record is from RNAcentral. Lineage: Eukaryota; Metazoa; Chordata; Mammalia; Artiodactyla; Suidae.
UUUUUUUUUUUUUUUUUAGGGCCACACCUGCAGCACAUGUAGGUUUCCAGGCUUGGGGUCAAAUAGGAGCUGCAUCUGCCGGCCUAGGCUACAGCCACAGCAGCGCCGGAUCUGAGCCAAGUCUGCGACCUACACCAGAGCUCAUGGUAACUCCAGAUCCUUAACCCACUGAGCGAGGCCAGGGAUCGAACCCACAUCCUUAUGGAUACCAGUUGGGUUCAUUGACCACUGAGCCACAGCUGGAAUGCCUUUUGCUGAUUUUUUAAUUGAGGCGUUUGUCUGCUCUGCUUUUGAAAAACUGCUUUGGCUAUUCAUAGUCUUUUGUAGUUCCAGACAAAUUUUAGGAUUUUUCUUCUAUUUCUGUGAAAACCACAUUGGAAUUUUGAUAGAGAUUAUAUUGAAUCUGUAGAUUGCUUGGGAUAAUAUGGACAUUUUAACAAUAUUAAGUUUUCCAAACCAUGAACAUGAGGUAUCUUUUCAUUAUACAAUUUUGUAUCCUACAACUUUACUGUAUUCGUGUAUUAAUUAUAAUAGUGUUUUUGUGGAAUCUUUAGGGUUUUCAAUAUGUAGUAUCGUAUCAUCUAAGAAAGAGACAAUUUUCUUCUUCCUUUCCAAUUUGGAUACCUUCUAUAUCUUUUUCUUGACUUAGCCCUCUGGCUAGGACUUCCAGUUGAAUAUGUUGAAUAAAACCAUCAAGCGUGGGCAACUUUGUUUUGUUCCUGAUCUUAGAGAAAAAGCUUUCAGCUUUUCAUCAUAAUGAUGGUAGUUGUAGGCCUGUCAUAUAUCGUCUUUUUUAUGGAGAUGCAUAUUCCAUCUAUACCUAUUUGAUCAUUGUUUUCAUCCCGAGAGGAUUUUGAGUUGUAUUGAAUACUUUUUUCUGCAUUUAUUGGGAUGAUCAUGUGUUUUUCUUAUCUCUCAUUUUGUUAAUCUGUUAGAUCACAUUAAUUGAUUGGGGGUGUAUUGAGCCGUCCUGUCUUCCCAGGAACAAAUCCCACUUGAUCGGGCUGUGCAAUCCUUCUAUACUGACGAAUGGAACUUGAGCGGUCCUGUCUUCCCAGGAACAAAUCCCACUUGAUCGGGCUAUGCAAUCCUUCUAUACUGCCGAAUGGAACUUGCUACACUUUGUUGCGAAUGUUUACAUCCAUGUUCAUCAAAGAUAGUGGCCUAUAGUUUUCUUUUCUUGGAGCAUCCUUACCUGGCUUUGGUAUCAGGGUAAUGCUGACCUCAUGAAAUAAGUUGGGAAGUGUCUCCCCCUAUUAACUUUUUGGAUGAGUUUGAGAAGGAUUGGUAUUAAUGCUUCUUUGAAUGUUGGUAGAAUUUACCAGUGGAACCAUUUGAUCCUGGGCCUUUGUUUGUUGGAAGGUUUUCCAUUAGUGACUCAUUCUGGUUACUCGUAAUUGGUCUGUUCAUGUUUUCUGUUUUAUCAUGUUUCGGUUUUGGUAGGUUUCAUGUUUCCAGAAAUGUAUCUAGUUCUUCUAGCUUGUCUAGUUUGUGGGUACGUAAUUGUUCCUAGUACUUUAUCACGAUUCUGGCUAUACCCCCAUUGACUCAGAACCAGUCAAUGCUAUGGCCCCUUCCCUUGGGUGGCAGCCAGAAAAGUUGGGUCACGGACUAUGUGGACGAGCUCCUCCCAGGGAGAAGUUAGAGGCUUGGUUUUACUGUUGGAGCAGGCUAGAUGGUGGAUGUAGGGAAAGUGCCCGCCAUUACUUUUAGGCUCUUGGGAUAAUAUAGAUGCAGACUGAUCAGAAGCAGAAGCCACAGGCAGUAACUGGGAGACUAUGCCAUCGAACUCCUUCCGGGAAAAGAAGAGAAAAAAUUAGGAGAUGGGAAUUUUUUCUGCUACCUCUGCAUUGUGUCUGAGUAGGCAAGGGGAGUGCUUCUUUGUUUGCUGUAGCCCUGCAGGUAUUAUGGACGCAAGCCCUUUUGGUCAGAGCCAGGUAAUCUGGGGCCCCAUCAGGUGGCAGCCUUAAAAGUCAAGGUACUAGAUGACAAUUCAAAACUUUUCACAUCUUGUGGGAAAGCUGGAAGUUGGGAGUUUCCUCUUGCUUGUAAGUUGCUGUGUCAUGGAUGAGGUUUAUGGUGAGAAAGUGUAAUUCGCCUUUUCUACCCACUUUGAUGAGGUUUUAAAAACCUUUUAAAUGAUUAUGUGAUCUUUACCCAUCAUUUAUUAUGAAUUUCAUGGACUGAUUUUCAAUUGUUAAAGUAAAAUCAAACUAUUAGAAUAAAAUCCCCUUUGUUGUCAUGCAUUGCAAGAUUUGGCUUACUAAGUCUUUUUUGUCAUUUUGCAUUACUGUAAGAUUAGCCAAAAUUUUCUUCUACUUAAUGCCAUAGUAGGGUUUUUAUUUCAAGGUUAAAACUGCCUCAAAAAGAAAAAAAUAAGAAAUCAAAGAAAGGGAUAGAAAUUACUCUUCCUUUAUUCUCUGGAAGAGUUUAAGCGGCAUUUUAAAUAUGUAUUCAAGUACUUUUAAAAAUUUUAAUGAAAAUUUUUUGCCGGAAUGAUUUAUACUAUAAGUCCCUUUUUUUUUUUUUAACUUAAUAGAUGAUUCUGAUCUUCUAUUCCUUCGCGGGUCAGCUUUGGUAAGUUAUUUCUUUAAUAAUUUCCCAUUUCAGGAGUUCCCGUCGUGGCUCAAUGGUUAACGAAUCCGACUAGGAAUCAUGAGGUUGCAGGUUCAAUCCCUGGCCUUGCUCAGUGGGUUAAGGAUCCGGUGUUGCCGUGAGAUGUGGUGUAGGUUAUGGACGCAGCUCGGAUCCUGCGUUGCUGUGGUUCUGGCGUGGCCAGUGGCUACAGCUUCAAUUUGACCCGUAGCCUGGGAACCUCCAUAUGCUGCGGGAGCGGCCCAAGAAAUGGCAAAAAGACAAAAAUAAUAAGAAUAAUAAUAAUUUUCCAUUUCAUCAAAACAGUCAAAUGUGUGAGUAUGAAAUUAUUCAUAGUAUGAUUCCAUUAUCUUAUGACACUUCAAUCAAUGUAAUUUCUAUAGAUUCUCUCUUAUUAUCCGUGAUAUUUCUGCGUGUGUUCUGUACGUGUUUGAAAACAUAUUUUGGAUCUAUAUUUGAAAGAAUACAUAUUCUUCAGGUUUAGCUUGAGUUUUCUACAUAUUUAAGUUGGUCAAGACGGUAAUUGUAGGAAAAAAAAGGAGGUUCCGUGGUCCCCCUGUGGCUCAGCGGAAACAAAUCCGACCAGGAACCAUGAGGUUGCAUGUUCGCUCCCUCAGCUCACUCAGUGGGUUAAGGAUCUGGUGUUGCCGUGAGCUGUGGUGCAGGUCACAGACGUGGCUCCGAUCUGGCGUUGCUGUGGCUGUGGCAUAGGCUGGCAGCUGCAGCUCUGAUUCGGCCCCUAGCCUGGGGACCUCCAUAUGCUGCGGGUGCAGCCCUAAAAAGGUGGAAAGAAAAAAAAAAGAUAAUUGUAAUCUUCCAGAUAGCUACAGAUUAUGUUUUCUCUAGACUUAAGUCUUCUGUAAGAAAUGGAUUAAAAUCACCAUGAUUGAUCAUUUCUUUUUUGUAGUUCUGAUAAUUUUUGAAGGCAUAUCAUUAAGCACAAAUUUGGAAGCUAUAGAAUCAUGGGAAAUUAAAAGUUAUAAAAAUGUGACACUUUAUCUCUUGUAAUGAUUUUGCUUUAAAAUCUACUAUGUCUAUACUUUCCUUUGGUUCAAGUUUGGUAUAUUUUUAUAUCAUUUUAGAUUCUAUU